UGUCAGGUCGGCUCGGCUCAAACAAGCCAAGUCGAUUCCCUUCUUCUCUCAUCCAUCCGACUCGUCGUGCCAGGGAAGGGGGAAGGGAGUGCCGGCCAUGGAUCCAAACCCUAACCCCAAUCCCACCUCCACCGACGCCCAACCCGAAGCCGAGCCAGAAGCGAGGCUCGCCGCCCUCUCCCUCAGCAGGGACCUCCCCCCGGACUUCGCCGGUGCCGAGAUCGACGACGACGUUGACGCGGACGCGGAGGCCGAGGAGGAGGAGGAGGGCUACCUUACGGCGGUGUCCAGAGGCGGGAGCAGCAGCUGCGCAGCAGCCGCGUGGAAGGAGGCGUCCGAGGGCCUCGACGACGAAGAGAAGGACGUGGCCCCGCCCAGCCCCAGCAGCAGCGGCUACGCCGGCGAGCGGGGAAGCAGCCUCGCCUCCAGCGCCGGCAUCGAGGAGCCCGAACCCGAACCCGAACCGGACGGCGUAGGCGUGCAUGAUUGGGCGCGCGAUAAGAAGCAUCUCGACGAGGACGAUGCUUCAGCUUCAUGGAGGAAGAGGAAAAAACAUUUCUUCAUUUUGAGCAAUUCUGGCAAGCCAAUAUAUUCUAGGUAUGGAGAUGAGCACAAGCUAGCUGGGUUUUCUGCUACACUGCAGGCGAUCAUUUCCUUUGUUGAGAACAGGUUCUAUGCCAGUGGUGAUCGUAUCAAAUUUGUGAGGGCUGGCAAACAUCAGAUAAUUUUCCUUGUGAAGGGGCCAAUAUAUUUAGUCUGUAUAAGCUGCACUGAAGAGUCAUAUGAAGGAUUGAGGGGACAGCUAGAGCUCAUGUAUGGUCAGAUUUUGCUUAUUUUGACAAAAUCAGUCAACAGGUGCUUUGAGAAGAAUCCCAAAUUUGAUAUGGCGCCAUUGCUUGGUGGCACGGAUGCAGUUUUCCUAUCUCUUAUACAUGCAUUCAACUGGAAUCCUGCUACAUUUCUUCAGGCUUACACAUGCCUUCCCCUUGCUCAAUCAACAAGGCAGGCGGCUAGUGCAGUUUUGCAGGACAUUGCUGACUCAGGAGUUUUAUUUGCACUUUUGAUGUGUGAGCACAAGGUUAUUAGUCUUGUGGGAGCACAGAAGGCAACUCUGCAUCCUGAUGAUAUUUUGUUACUUGCGAAUUUCAUACUGUCCUCUGAAUCUUUUAGGACUUCGGAGUCUUUUUCACCCAUAUGUUUGCCAAGAUACAAUCCUAUGGCCUUCCUAUAUGCUUAUGUUCAUUUUUUUGAUGAACAUACGUAUGUAAUUCUGCUUACUACGAGAUCAGAUGCCUUCUAUGAUCUCAAAGAUUCCAGGGCUCGCAUUCAGAAUGUUCUUCUAAAGUCAAAUGUCCUUAUUGAAGUCCAAAGAUCUUUGUGCGAGAGCGCACUGCGUGUUGAAGAUCUCCCCACUGAUCCGUCUUCUCGAUCUGAAUCACAACCUCUGCAGUCUUCUCAAGACAUGAGUUCUCAAUCUCCUGAAAUGGCAAUCGGAGGUCCGGCUGGACUUUGGCAUUUUAUAUACAAAAGCGUCUAUCUGGACCAGUAUGUAUCAUCUGAAUUUCCCUUGCCGAUAAAUAACCCAAAGCAACAAAAGAGACUGUACAAAGCUUAUCAAAAGUUCUAUGCCUCCAUGCAUGACAAAGCAACUGGUCCACACAAAACUCAAUUUAGAAGAGGCGAGGAUUAUGUUCUAUUUUGCUGGAUAACACAGGAUUUUGAGCUAUAUGCAGCCUUUAAUCCAUUGGCCGACAAGACCCAAGCGAUCAAGAUAUGCAAUAGAGUAUGCCAAUGGAUCAGGGAUUUAGAAAAUGAAAUAUUCGUAUAUGGAGAAAGCACCCUUUCCUGGUGAUAUUUUGUCUUGUAUGCAGUACCACCAUUGUUGGGGAGAUAUGUGAGGGAUUUAGAUUAAACUGAGUUUCUAUUUGACUGAUCGAAUCUGAGGUUGUAUGAGCGGAUACAGGAAUUAAGAUUGUGAUUGUUUGUUUGUAUUAAAAUGAUUAUGUGACAGUAAUAAGUGGACUCGUCUUUAUGAACGUAUGUAGGAGUCUGUAUUUACUAGAUCAGACUGUGGAUGUAUAUUUGUAUCUGCUGAGACAAGCUAAAACAAUACAUAUGAACAAUUAAA
RNA transcript from Phragmites australis (common reed), 2128 nucleotides. It is a transcript of the gene named vacuolar fusion protein MON1 homolog, with no coding region annotated. NCBI's taxonomy places the organism in Eukaryota, Viridiplantae, Streptophyta, Magnoliopsida, Poales, Poaceae. The transcript has 16 exons. The record is from RefSeq and is a predicted model, not a curated record.